GACGAACGCUGGCGGCGUGCCUAAUACAUGCAAGUUGAGCGCUGAAGGUUGGUACUUGUACCAACUGGAUGAGCAGCGAACGGGUGAGUAACGCGUGGGGAAUCUGCCUUUGAGCGGGGGACAACAUUUGGAAACGAAUGCUAAUACCGCAUAAAAACUUUAAACACAAGUUUUAAGUUUGAAAGAUGCAAUUGCAUCACUCAAAGAUGAUCCCGCGUUGUAUUAGCUAGUUGGUGAGGUAAAGGCUCACCAAGGCGAUGAUACAUAGCCGACCUGAGAGGGUGAGCGGCCACAUUGGGACUGAGACACGGCCCAAACUCCUACGGGAGGCAGCAGUAGGGAAUCUUCGGCAAUGGACGAAAGUCUGACCGAGCAACGCCGCGGGAGUGAAGAAGGUUUUCGGAUCGGAAAACUCUGUUGGUAGAGAAGAACGUUGGUGAGAGUGGAAAGCUCAUCAAGUGACGGUAACUACCCAGAAAGGGACGGCUAACUACGUG
This 497-nucleotide ribosomal RNA is filed under the name uncultured bacterium. Its description in RNAcentral is "partial 16S ribosomal RNA". It matches the Rfam family "Bacterial small subunit ribosomal RNA", at positions 28 to 507 of the family's 1533-position model. The record is from RNAcentral.